Long non-coding RNA from Choloepus didactylus (southern two-toed sloth), 3550 nucleotides. RefSeq lists it as uncharacterized. Lineage: Eukaryota; Metazoa; Chordata; Mammalia; Pilosa; Megalonychidae. The record is from RefSeq and is a predicted model, not a curated record. The transcript has 7 exons.
AUGAGAUCCUUGUGCUAUGCAUGGAAGGAUUUCUUUUAAGCAGAAAUGACCUUUCCUGCCAAAGAAGAUUGAAAACCUUUUGUUCAUUGCCACAGAGAGAAAAUAACUGGGAUUGAGAACCUAGAUGCAAGGCAGAGAAUUCAAGCUAGAAGCACAGAGAGCGACAGUAUCCCACCAUCAUUCCCCAAUGAUUGGCAGACGGUGUCAUACAGCGUAUAUUGAGGAAAGCAAAGCCUUCCAGAGAAAUCAAGUGCCAAAGAUUGAGUCCUUAAUAUGGAACUUUAAGUCAUUUUGUGAACCAGGAUGACAUCUUCUCUCAUGAUGUAAGACAGUGAGCUGACUCAUCCUAAGAUAAAACAACCAACCAAAUGAAAGGCACAUGUUCAGAUUUUGUGGGUCAGGAAUUCUGAAAAGGCACAGAAGGGUGGCUCUUUUCUGCUCCAUGAUGUCUUGGGCCUCAGCUGGAAUGACUCAAAUAGCUGGGAGCUGGAACAGCUGGGAUUGGAGGAUCCACUUCCCAUAUCUCUUCUUCACUCACAUAGCUUGUGCCUGCACUGCAAUGACUGAAGGACAGGGUCAGCUGGGACUAUUGACUGAAGCCCUAACAUGUGUCCUGUCCAGUAUGCCAGCCUCAAGAUUGUUGAACUUCUUGCACUGAAGCUCAGGUUUCCAAGAGCAAAUGUUCUUGUGAAUAAGCAGAAGUUGUAUGACCUUCUAUGACCUAGCCUCAAAAGUCAAAUUGGUUGAAGCAUUCAGAAAGCUACCCAGAUUCAAGAAGAGGAGACAUGAACUCCAACUUUCAAUGGGAGGAAUGUCAAGGAAUCUGCAGCCAUGUUUUAAAACCACCACAAGUGUGUCUCAGCUUCUCCUCCCCUCUAGACAUAAGCCAGUAAGCUAGAUGGGACUGGAACUGGGUAUAUCCCUUCCCCCAUGUAGGAGGUUAGAGGGAGCUGGAAUUCAGUAUUUCCCUUCACCACCCCACCACCCUGCUACCCACUCCCCACCCCCACAACCUCCCAACACGUAGGCUCUGCUAAAAGCCAAGUCAGUUAGGCUUUAUUAGGCUUUAGUAAAACAGUUUCUUUUGAGGGAAGUCUUUGUUAAGGAGAACAGACCAUUCUGGGCAUAUUUCAAAAUCAUUCUCUUUCCUCUCCCUCUGCUAGAAGCAUGAGGAGAAUUUUCUCCAGACUUUAUAGUAAGAACUUGGUGGGGCUCUUUGAUAUAAAACUCAAGAAAGUAUGGGAGCUCCCCUGGAACAGGACUCUCUGAAUCUUCAACUCUCAAGUUAGUUCACACUGAGUCUCCAGAAUUUUGUCAAUUACAGUUCAAGCAUUCCUAUCUGUACUGGCUUCAGCAGGAAGUUUCUGUUUCUUGGCUUCUUCUUUAGGUAAGCUGUGGCUCUCUUCAUCUGUCAUUCUCCUUUUUGGGGGGCAGUGGCUUGCCCUGUGACCUCAAUUCUCUGAUAGAUCCAAGAAGAGUUGUUGUUUUUCAGUUUGUUCAAGUUUUAUCCUGUUAGGAUGGGAGAGAUGACUUCCAACUUCCUUACAUUCUAGAUCAGAAACCAGAAGUCUGCAUAUCAUAUGCAAAUUUUUCAAUUUUUCAGCAUCAAAUAUGCAUUUGCCAAUAUUUCAACUUUGAAUAUAUACUACUUACAUAAUCAGAAAUUGAAAAAGCAUAUUAAAUGGGGUUAUUGCCUGGGGAUAAAGAAUAUGUGGGGAGGAACACAAAAGACUUUUCUAGUGUUUAAAGUGAUAUUGUACAAAAAUUAAUGCAAUAUCUCUUUGCCACUUUUUCCAACAUCUAAAAAACUGUCAUGCUAACCGCACUGAGUUUGUUCCAUGAGGAAGUCUUUAAGGAAGCUCUUGCCAGACUCCAUGAAAGUAAAGUAUGAAGACACUGAGACUCAGAGAAGAUAAAUGACCUGCCUGAGGUCACACAGCUAGUAAUGACAGAGGAGCCACUGGAAACCCAUUCAUCUGAUGCCAGCCUAGAGCUCUUUCAACACCAGAAUGUGUUAAUAUGCAGUGCUAAAGAAGUUACCGGGAACAAAAGCUGUUGCAGUCUGGGUUCACUUCACGUAUUGCACGUUGCAGAUCAGUGAUGCAGGAUGAUGCAUCAUUUUCUUCUGUGUUGCCUUCAGGCUACAUUGGGAGUGGUGCCAAUAUCAUCAAGUUGCACUGUGCUAAGUAUGCCCCAAACAAGCUUUUGAAUGGAGAGUAAGGGUGUAAAGCUGCAGGUCAUCCACGGAUGCUCCCUGGUGGAGGUAGAAGACCAGCAGGACCAAGUUCCCAGCAAUGGUGGCAGAGCUGAUGGCACUUUCAGUUCCAGUGCCCAUGACGGUGAAACCAGUGAUGGCAGCUGUGCUGGCUGGUGAUGGACAGUGGUGACAAUUUCCUUACCAGAUGGGGUCUGUGAUGUGACUUAGGCUUUGUUCCUGCCUACAUGGCCACAAUCUUCCUGAGAUUUUUUGAGAUUUUCCUUUUCUGUUUAACUCAGCCAGCAUCCAUUUUUAGCCUCCAAAGAUACUAUCACAGAGCUCAAUCACAGCAGGAGCUUUAUAAAUAUUUGUUGAAUGAAUAAGUGAAUAGAUCUAUCAUUGCUAUCUGCAGGGCCAUUAGCCUCUCUACACUCAGUUUCCUCAUCCAAAAAUGGGCUAAUAAUUCCCUACCACAAAGGGAUGUUGUAAGAAUUGAAUGAAAUAAUGUAGGCCCAGCAGCUAGUAUAUAACAAGCAACCAGUAACGGGUAGUUAUUAUUGGUAGAAACAGGGAUGUGGACAUGUGACUUAUGUUGGUGAUAACAAUAAAUCAGUGUCCUGGCUUGCAACAGGAGGAGAUAGUUUAAGGUACUACCUGUCAGGGACACAUGUCCUAGACAUCUAAACUUGCUUCAUAUAACCCACAGUUAAACAUUGUUGCCUUUGUGUUCCCAUGAAAUCCUUGAGUUUUACGUAUGGGCUUAUCACCUGGCUGGGUAACUUGGCAGAGGGUGCACACUCUAAAGUAUCUCCUUUUACCACAUUCUGUCACCUUGAGAACCUUAAAAGAAGCGAGCAUUUGGUGCAGGAGGAAAAGUAAGGUUAAAAACUCUUGGCUCCAUUUGGGUGUCUAGGAGGGUAGGGUUAUGUUGAAGUUCUCUGUAUGGGGUUUGUAUUAUUAUUUUUGAAGCUGUCCUGUAAGUUUUGAAAGUAUUUCAAAAUAAAAAGUUAAAAAACAAAAACACACAACUCUUGUCUCCAAAUCUUGAGCUAACACAAGAGGUUUCCAAAGAACCAGAGCACCCCUUGCAGGGCAAUGGGGGAACUUGAGGACUGAAAGUCAAAGGAAGGUCAGAAAGGCAGUAGUAUCACUGCAAAUCAGAGAGAACAAGAGUUUAAGCAAACAGCAAGAAGAGAGUUGCUUCAGCUGACUAGACAGUGAGGAGGCAGAGGCAGACAGCAAUUCAACUCUGCAACCAGUUGCUGAAAAACAAGGGACAGUCAUAAAACUGUGUGACAUGGCCAAGACUAUUUGUCAAAUAUUUGUCCUCUGCAAAAUCUCAUAUUUUCAUAC